AUUGAACGCUGGCGGCAGGCCUAACACAUGCAAGUCGAGCGGAUGAAGGGAGCUUGCUCCUGGAUUCAGCGGCGGACGGGUGAGUAAUGCCUAGGAAUCUGCCUGGUAGUGGGGGAUAACGUCCGGAAACGGGCGCUAAUACCGCAUACGUCCUGAGGGAGAAAGUGGGGGAUCUUCGGACCUCACGCUAUCAGAUGAGCCUAGGUCGGAUUAGCUAGUUGGUGGGGUAAAGGCCUACCAAGGCGACGAUCCGUAACUGGUCUGAGAGGAUGAUCAGUCACACGGGAACUGAGACACGGUCCAGACUCCUACGGGAGGCAGCAGUGGGGAAUAUUGGACAAUGGGCGAAAGCCUGAUCCAGCCAUGCCGCGUGUGUUAAGAAGGUCUUCGGAUUGUAAAGCACUUUAAGUGGGGAGGAAGGGCAGUAAGUUAAUACCUUGCUGUUUUGACGGUACCAACAGAAUAAGCACCGGCUAACUUCGUG
Molecule: ribosomal RNA, 484 nt
Filed under: uncultured bacterium
Lineage: Bacteria
Description: partial 16S ribosomal RNA
Rfam family: Bacterial small subunit ribosomal RNA
Source: RNAcentral